CAGUCAGACGCAGCAAAGCUCACCGUCUGUAUGAGCGUGAGCGUCGGAAAGCUGAUAAAAUCGGCUGUAAAAUAAUUAAAACAAAAGUAAAAAUGCUCCUUUGCUUUUUAGAGUCCACAUCCAGAAGGCUGGAGCCGUGUUUCACUGACAGGCUGUCAGACUAACGCCCUGAUGAGCUCAGCUGGGACAAACUGGUCUGAUGUUUAGGAACACAGAACGUUCAGAUGUUGGAGCUUCACGUCACCUACUGAGGAAGGAGACCCACCAGUAAAGAGACGGUCUGGACCAGACCAAAAAUAUGGCGUUGACAUCAUGGAACUGGUCUUUGGAAAAGUUUUCCCUGAACCAACUCCGUUUCUAGAUGAGGUAGAGAAGAUCUGCAUCUCACCAACCCUCUGGUCUCAGUAUUCAGACAACCUCUGGUCUCAGUAUUCAGACAACGGAGGUCUCCCACUGUUAUCCAGGACCAGUUUGAAGCCCACAUACUGCCCCUCCCUCAUCAUCAGGAAACAUCAAUCCGUAUCCUGAGGACAACAGAAGACGGCAGGAGGACAGGAACUCUGAGACCUAGAUACCACCAGCACCGAGACACAAAGCACCUGUGUGCACAGCGCCUGUUUAACUACUAAAGCCUGUUUAUUAUAUUGUUCUACUUAUUUGCUGUGAGGUUAAUACUUAGAAAAUUUGUAUAUUAAUGUAAACAAUAAAAAAAAUCACUGAUUGUAUAUUUUCUUUUAGAUGUAAUGGUCCAAACUCAGCCUUGUAGACAUUUAUUGCAUCCUGUAGGUAAAUACACAGAACAGGCUCAGGUCCAGGAUGACCCAGCAGGCUCUUCUUCCAUUCUGGCUGUUAGGGAUUGUAUCAAUAACUCAAUGCCUACUGAUGUUUUCACCUAACGGUAUUUAUUUAGAAUGCAGGUAAGAUUUAACUAUAAUUGUUAGCAAAGCAGACUGAUCUUGGGAAUUUCACUGCAGCACUGAUGUCCACCUCUGUGUACACAUCAGAGAGAAUUACCACUUUACAGCUAAACACAUAUUUAAUAAAGAUAUAGGCUACGCAUUGCAGACAAUAAAAACAAAGCUGUAAGCAUUAGAAUUAUAAUGAUCACAUUAAAGAACAUUUGGAGGAAU
This is a non-coding RNA of Nothobranchius furzeri (turquoise killifish), 1130 nucleotides long. The record is from RefSeq and is a predicted model, not a curated record. NCBI's taxonomy places the organism in Eukaryota, Metazoa, Chordata, Actinopteri, Cyprinodontiformes, Nothobranchiidae.